RNAcentral lists this long non-coding RNA (3182 nucleotides) under Homo sapiens (human). RNAcentral describes it as "HSALNT0339132". The record is from RNAcentral. Lineage: Eukaryota; Metazoa; Chordata; Mammalia; Primates; Hominidae.
AGCUCUUAGCAAUAUAUAGAAGUGAGCAGGACAGCCGUGGUCCUUUCUUGGGAAGUUUAUUUUCUAGUGUGGGAAAUUGUACAAUAAAUAAAAUAAUUCUAAUAGUAGUAAGUGCUAUGAAGAAAACACAAUAGUAUGCUAACAUGAUAAACAUCAUGAUAAAAGGCCUUUAAGUAGCAGUGGAGAUUAUUUGUCAGUUAAUAAAGGGAUUUAAAACAAUUACAUUUACUGAAAUAGCUGAUAUGUGUAUGAUCUUACAUCAGUUAUCUUAUUUUAGGUUUUCUGAGGUUUUGUUUCCAUUUAGUUUGUAGUCUAUUUAGUUUUUAGUUCCAUUUAGUUAUGAGUAAUAUCUUGCUUUAUUUGCUUGUUUUCUUCUCAAUUGGUUUGGAAGAUGAUGUUAUUUUUAUUUACAUAAGUGGAUAUUUUUACAUUCACUGAAAACAUUCUCUAAUCUAAAUUUUGCCUUUUUAUCAAAUCAAACAAUUAUAUCUUUUGCUUUCUUCCUGUAACAUGAGAAAUUUAAUCAUCCACGGUCUUGCUAUUUUAUGGUCUUUAUUAAUAUAGUCUUAAAGAUUCCAUUUAAUUAAUUGUAUUAACUGUACUUAAUAGGUUUUCUUAGCUACAAUAAUUAUACCGACUUCCAUAUUUAACAGCUUUUAAUGCUUACUGUCAAUUUGUGUACAAUAAUUUAACCUUUCUGAAUUUCUUAAUUUUAGUGGUAAACGUGUUUACAUAUUACUUUAUAAAUGUCUUCAGUAUAUUCUUAAGCUCUUGGAUAUUUAAAAGUGGUUUUCUAUGGUCUUUACAAAGGAACAGUAAUUUUACUAGCUAUAAAAGUCUUAUGUUAUAAUCUUUGGUUUGCUCAAAAUGAUCACUCUAUGGUUUUCUGGCCAACCUGAUUUUUCUUCAUUAGUAGGGAAUAUGUUUUAUCUUUUCUGUUUCAUGCUAUAAUUUAUUUUUUAUACCUUUGAAGUUUAGAAAUUUACUAUGUAUCAAGAUAGGUGUGUCUCAAGGCCAAGUGAGAGUUAGCAAAAACAGGUUACAGAGUCAGAUCUGCAAAGGUCUCAGAUAUUGGUAUAUCUCAUAUAACACAAACUAAAUAUGUUUACUAUAUUUAAAUAAAUAAAAGGCAAACUUAAAAUAUUAUAAUGAUCAUGAGAAUUAAAAAUUAAGUGUAUUUGGGAAAAAAUAGAACAUUAGAAAUUAAAAACAGUUAUUCAAUGCAUAGGUUAAAGAGUAUAUUAGACAUAAGCAAAGAGAGAUUUUAUAGGCUAGAAAACAGAUCUGAAGGAUUACUCAGAAUGUAACACAGAGAGACAUAGAAAUGCAUAAUAGUAGCAUGAAGGAUAUAAUGAAGAGGUGUGUCUAACAUCCAUCUUAAUGGAGAGACAAGGUCAGGGAAUGGGGCAGGGACAAUAUAUGAAAAUUAGGAGCUAGGAAUUUUCCAAAACUAUUAAAAAAAAAAAAUCUGUCUUCAGAUUUAGAAAGCCCCCCAAACACAAAGAAGAAUAAAUGAAAGAAAUCCACAUUAGACAUAUAAUAGUGACUCAGUAUAACACCAAAGACAAACAAAAUGACCUUAAAAGACUGCCUUAAAGGAAUUAACAGAACUAAAGCUGAUUUGUCAGUAACAGCACUGGAUCCAAAGGCAGUCAAAUAAUAUCUUCAAAGUGGUGAGAAAAUAUAACUCAAUCUAGAAGUCCAUGUUCAGCAAAAAUUUGAAGAUUAAGGGCAAAAUAAUUUUUUUCAGAUAUAUAAAACCUGAGUGAAUAUGCAGCAAGAGACUCUCUCUAAAGGAAAUUCUAAGUGAUGUACGUCAGGCUGAAGGAAAAUGAUCCCAGAUGGAAGAUGUGACCUACAAGAGGGAAUGACGAACUAAGAAAGUGGUUUAUAUGAGAAUAAAUCUAAACUAAAAUUGAUUGGUGAAACAAUAAUGUAAUGGCUUAUAGCCAACAACUCCGUAGAGAAGUGAUUAGAGUGAAAGCAUUCUAAAGUCCUUGCUUUAUGUAGGAAGUUGGUUAAAACAAAAACAAAAGCCACUGACUAAGUAUGCAUGUUAACAUUUCUAGGGUAUUCACUAAAGAAAAGAAAUAGUAUAACUCUAAACUAGUGGAGAUUUAAAAAGGAACAAAAAAAGUUAGUCAACCCAAAAGCAGUUAAAAAAAGAAGAGAAAAAGAAAGGGAGACGAAGCAUAACAAGAUGAUAGAACAAAUGUGAAUAUAUCAGUUACUAUACUAUAUGUAAAUUAAAUUUUCCUGUUAAAAAGCACAGUUUAUUAGAUUAAAUUCAAAAGAUAGACUAGCUUUAAAAAUCUAAAUACAGUACUGUGGUUUACGUGAAAACCCUACAUAAGGGUACGUAAAGGUUUUGAGAAAUAGGGUGACAUAACUACAAAUAUAGGUGGAAUGAACUUUAAGGCAAAAGGUGUUACCAGAGAUAGAGGGUCACAAGAUAAUGGUAAAAGAUUCAUUUCACCAGGAAAAUAUGACACUUCUAAUGUUGUAUGCCCCCAAUAACAGACUAAAAUUAUAUAAAGUAAAAAAUGGACAGAAACACAAGGAUAAAAAGAAAAAAUGUCAUCAGAAUUGGAGGUUGGAAUCUACUUCUUUUAGUAAUUGAUUUAUUGAAUAAACCAGGGAUCAGCAAACAUUUUCUGAAAGAGAGGCCAGAUAAAUAUUUUAGGCCUUGCAGGGCGCAUAUAGUCUGUUUUGUGUAUUCCUCUUUGCACCAUACUUAGCUCAUUGGGCCAUACAACAACAGGCUAAACAGAUUGAGUCCACAGGGUAUAGUUUGUUGACCUCUGAAAUAGAGAGUAAAAAUUAGUGAGGGAAUACAUGAUUUGAGCAACAGAGUUAAUAAGGUUGAUAUUGACCAUACACGUAUGGAAGAGACAUUCUUCUCAAGGAUGCAUGGAAGAUUUAUGAAAAUAAGAAGCAUACAGGACCAUAGAGCAAAUAUCAAUAAAUGAUUGGCAAAGAUUAAAAAGUCUGAAAACACCCAUUUUUGAUGAUGUUGUAGGGAAAAGGAAAACCUUCAUGCCCAGUAUAAGUCUGUACAACUACUCUAGAGACCAAUUUGGCAAUAGCUAGUAAUUGUGAAGAUACAAUUUUGUAUAUAAAUCCUAGAGCAAUUAUUCUUAAAAGAAGUUUUAAAAACUAUCUAUCCCCAUGACAUUUUUAAG